GUGCUCACUUUGGCAGUACGUAUACCAAAAUUGGAAUAAUAAGGAGAUUAGCAUGAUUCCUGUGUAAGAAUGACACACAAAUUCAUGAAGCAUUCCAUGUUUUA
This is a small nuclear RNA of Stegostoma tigrinum, 104 nucleotides long. Lineage: Eukaryota; Metazoa; Chordata; Chondrichthyes; Orectolobiformes; Stegostomatidae. The record is from RefSeq and is a predicted model, not a curated record.